UCUCCGUAGGUGAACCUGCGGAGGGAUCAUUACUGAGUGAGGGCUCCGGCCCGACCUCCAACCCCAUGUGAACCGAAACCUGUUGCUUCGGGGGCGACCCUGCCGUCCGCGGCUGAGCGCCCCCGGGGGAAAUCAAACACUGCCUCAAUUUGUGUCGGAGUACCUGUUAAUAAACAAAACUUUAAACAACGGAUCUCUUGGUUCUGGCAUAGAUGAAGAACGCAGC
RNAcentral lists this unclassified non-coding RNA (226 nucleotides) under uncultured fungus. RNAcentral describes it as "sequence contains ITS1, 5.8S rRNA gene". The stretch from base 178 to 226 matches the Rfam family "5.8S ribosomal RNA", at positions 1 to 49 of the family's 154-position model. The record is from RNAcentral. Lineage: Eukaryota; Fungi.